CUGAGUGGCCUUCCUGUUGCAUUUGACAACUCGGUGAAAACCAUACAUGAAAUGAGAGAGCAGAUUGCGAUCUGCCUCCUGGAAAACACAGACGACUUGACUGAACUUUGCCAUCUUUGUGGGCUGGUGAAUGGUGACACCCACUGGAUUGGGUGUGACUUGUGCCCACGAUGGUAUCACCGAAACUGCCUGAAAAAGAAAACAGGGAAAAAGUUUGUCUGUGAAGUGUGUCAGAAGAAGAAAUAAUGUCUUCAUUUGGCUGAUUACUACUUUGAUUUUUUUAUUUUUUUAUUUUUUUUUUAUUUUUUUUUUUAUUUUAUGGUAUUUGGGGCAAACACCGGGCAGCUGUAUGCCUAUGUCACUGACAGAAAGACACAAAGGUCUGAUAAGAGGUAGUUGACUUUUAAAGGUUAGUGUUUUUCAUUUGAACAGACAUGUUUAUAUGUUGACAGAAAAAAGCAUUUCGUAAAAUUUCAUUUGGAAAUGCAUGAUGCAAAGGCAAUCUGUGUGGUGAUGUUUUCAUUAAAAUCUAUUUGACAAA
Long non-coding RNA from Melanotaenia boesemani (Boeseman's rainbowfish), 541 nucleotides. RefSeq lists it as uncharacterized. NCBI's taxonomy places the organism in Eukaryota, Metazoa, Chordata, Actinopteri, Atheriniformes, Melanotaeniidae. The transcript has 3 exons. The record is from RefSeq and is a predicted model, not a curated record.